This 65-nucleotide transfer RNA is filed under the name Rhabdopleura compacta. RNAcentral's name for it is "transfer RNA-Thr". The record is from RNAcentral. Lineage: Eukaryota; Metazoa; Hemichordata; Pterobranchia; Rhabdopleurida; Rhabdopleuridae.
GCCUUUGAAGCUCUUGGAGCGUUAGUUUUGUAAGCUAGAGUUUAAGAUAUUGUUCUUCUUAGGUU